This is a long non-coding RNA of Ficedula albicollis (Collared flycatcher), 242 nucleotides long. RefSeq lists it as uncharacterized. The transcript has 3 exons. NCBI's taxonomy places the organism in Eukaryota, Metazoa, Chordata, Aves, Passeriformes, Muscicapidae. The record is from RefSeq and is a predicted model, not a curated record.
CCACAGGAGAGGAAUCACAUGAGUCAAAUGAUGUCGUGAAAGACAUUGUGAAGGAGCUGCAGAAGGGACGUGGGAUGGACGUAGAGGCUCUAUGGAAGGCAGCAUUUCCUGAAGGAAGAGAGGCAAAGCCAGGCACAGGCAUGGGCACAGGAGUGAUGAGCCAAAAGUCUGUGCAGAAGGAAGAACUUUCCAGUGGAAGCAGUGGCUCGGUGCCAGCCUCUCCUGCAGGAGGGACAGCGAUG